RNAcentral lists this long non-coding RNA (208 nucleotides) under Elaeis guineensis (African oil palm). RNAcentral describes it as "long non-coding RNA (EGUI_LNC004169)". The record is from RNAcentral. Lineage: Eukaryota; Viridiplantae; Streptophyta; Magnoliopsida; Arecales; Arecaceae.
AUACAAGUUCACUAACGGGAGAGAAGAGUGCUCGAAAUUCAGGCAUCUUGGGUCACCUCCACUGAAUGCCCAUCCCCAAUCAAGUAUCUGAUCUGGUCCAUAAUGUUGGGCCCCCGAGCACAGAUCUCUCUCCAGAUGAAAAAGUAGUCCCGGACAGCUUGGAUGGGGAUCCCAUGGCUCCAUCCACCGUAACGGCCCUUCAUCACCC